AACGCACAUUGCACCCUCUGGUAUUCCGGGGGGUAUAUCUGUCCGAGCGUCAUUACAACCUUAAAGCCCGGCUUUUUAUUGGAUUCUAGUUCUGCUCCGGCGGGACGGAUCCGAAAUGGAUUAAUGACGUCGCGAUUACCACGGAAUCGAGCGAAUGGAAUCAUUAACGCUCUGUUUGAAGUGGCCGACGGUCUUCUGAAGCGGUCAUUCUUGAUCGUCUUUUUUAACGGUUGACCUCGGAUCAGAUAAGGAUACCCGCUGAACUUAA
Molecule: unclassified non-coding RNA, 268 nt
Filed under: Penicillium sp.
Lineage: Eukaryota; Fungi; Ascomycota; Eurotiomycetes; Eurotiales; Aspergillaceae
Also listed under: 1 other name
Description: partial contains 5.8S ribosomal RNA, internal transcribed spacer 2, and large subunit ribosomal RNA
Source: RNAcentral